This 88-nucleotide ribosomal RNA is filed under the name Citrobacter freundii. Lineage: Bacteria; Pseudomonadati; Pseudomonadota; Gammaproteobacteria; Enterobacterales; Enterobacteriaceae. RNAcentral also lists the same sequence under 63 other names. The record is from RNAcentral.
UGACCCCAUGCCGAACUCAGAAGUGAAACGCCGUAGCGCCGAUGGUAGUGUGGGGUCUCCCCAUGCGAGAGUAGGGAACUGCCAGGCA